AGGACGAACGCUGGCGGCGUGCUUAACACAUGCAAGUCGAGCGGAAAGGACCUUCGGGGUACUCGAGCGGCGAACGGGUGAGUAACACGUGAGUAAUCUGCCUUUAGCUCUGGGAUAGGCUCCGGGAAACCGGGAUUAAUACCGGAUAUGACCACUUUAGACAUCUGUUGUGGUGGAAAGUUUUUCGGCUAGAGAUGAGCUCGGCGGCCUAUCAGCUUGUUGGUGGGGUAACGGCCUACCAAGGCGACGACGGGUA
This 256-nucleotide ribosomal RNA is filed under the name uncultured bacterium. RNAcentral describes it as "partial small subunit ribosomal RNA". It matches the Rfam family "Bacterial small subunit ribosomal RNA", at positions 26 to 285 of the family's 1533-position model. The record is from RNAcentral.